Long non-coding RNA from Bombyx mori (domestic silkworm), 1849 nucleotides. RefSeq lists it as uncharacterized. Lineage: Eukaryota; Metazoa; Arthropoda; Insecta; Lepidoptera; Bombycidae. The record is from RefSeq and is a predicted model, not a curated record. The transcript is spliced from 2 exons.
AAUGCGACAUUAAAUCUUCUAAUCUACGACACGAGAAAACAUAUAAGUACUAAAUUAUACUGAUACAUUCAUUUAAACUAAAGUAAUAGAAUUACAUGGAUUUAUUUCGACAAUCUUUCACAAAAGAAAUUUGUUUUUUUAAUAAGUACAUAUUCAUUAUAAUAUUACAUAGUGAAAUAAAGUUUUUCUAAGUCACUUCUUAAAAUAAUAAAAUAGUAAUGUAUUUUAUUAAAACUUAUUAUUACUAAGAUGCAUUUCCAAAAACACAAUAGUAGAUAGGUAGGUUAGAGUGGGCUCGCUAAUUCCAUGUACAUUUCCAUGUGUUGGUAUGUAGCUAAGCAUAUUAUUUCGGGCGGCAGCGGUAAAAGCGAGCUAGCAGGCACACGUGGCGACGACGGGGACUGGAAGAAUGUUCGGUAUUUAGGUUGCGUUUCGGGUACCUUUUUCAUUCAUUGCCGUAACACUGCACCUCGGUCUCGUGGCGGAGUUACUUCUUUAACUUCUCGAGUCAGUUCGAUGGGUACAUACAUAGGUUGGAGAAAAGUUUCUUCGCAUUUUUUAAGAAAAUUCACAACAUUUUUUAAUAUAGUUUAUUUAAAUUUAACUAAAGUAUGUAGGUACCAUUUUGUUCGAUAGCUUUUUGCUAUCUUGUAGGUGGCAAGAAGGGACAUGAAGUAGGGACAUGAAGCCAGAUACAAAUAGUAUAGCCAAAGAGAUUUUAUUACAAGUUCAUACAUACUAUAAUGCAAAAAGACUUUUUCUCCGACCUAUUACAUAGUUUCAUUGACAUUUCGUGUAUAUCAGUUUAACAUUACAAAAUACGAAAUAACUUUAAUUGAAUAAGUGUGGACGUCAAAUAUUAAAAAAACAGUCCCGAAAAGCUUUAUGUAAUUGAAAUUAUUGAAGAACUAGGUACAUCAGACAAACACAUGUAAAAACAUACACAAAUUCUAAAUAAAUAAAAAAGUACAAAACAAACAUGAACAAUCAACAAUUUUAAUAAACUGUUACAAGACUAGGUACCUACGGAGUGUUAGUAGUUGUCCUGUUAUCAAGCACUCGCAUUGACACAAUAAACGCGGUUGAACUCUAUUUGUAUUAAACAUUCCGACUGUUUCGUUUCGACUACAUUCUCUCAUUAAUUGUGUGAGAUGACAUAUUUUCACUUCUAAAACUCAGGUGUGGCCGAGCCGUCAAAUUAGUCGGAAAGGAAUGUAGCCCUAGAAAUUUUCACUGUAAAAAGAAAGUUCCACGGGAUGCAUGAGAGCGAACGCGCGCGCGCGCGAAGCGACUUCCGACGCGUACGCAGGUCGACUGCAUCAAAAAUGAGUGACAGUGGUGUAGAGUCGACGCCGCGGUGAUGCGGUCGUCCCUUCCCGGAUAUCGUCGAGCAAGUCUUAGUAGUUUUUAAAAUAGAGAAGUUAACGGAACGUGUGCACCGCCCGAAAGCGCCAGUCGCUUUACCCCAACCCGAAAUGUGUCACUUGUUGUUAACGCGGCGUGGUAUUCGUUCGUUCCUAGCAGAUUUCAACAGAAACGGGCACGCCACAGGGUGAACGGCACCAACCGACUACCUACCUACCACACACUGCCUACAAACAACCAACAAUAUCCAAACCUCACAAAAAAUAUUCUCAAUAGAAGCCGCAUAGCACCGCGCAGACCUCUACCGAAGAUGUCCAACUUCAAACCUCUUUUGUUUUUUAUGUUUAUCUGAUCUGGAAAUGUUUUUGUUUUUAUUUGUCUCGAUAUAUGUUUAUAGUUACUAUUGAAUACUAACAACCAAUUAAAUUAAUUAUGUACUUGAAAUUGUUACAAGUAAAAUAGGUACCUGUUUAAUAUUGAAAAA